GCAGUCGAACGCACUCUCGUUUAGAUUGAAGGAGCUUGCUCCUGAUUGAUAAACAUUUGAGUGAGUGGCGGACGGGUGAGUAACACGUGGGUAACCUGCCCUAAAGUGGGGGAUAACAUUUGGAAACAGAUGCUAAUACCGCAUAAAACCUAACACCGCAUGGUGUAGGGUUGAAAGAUGGUUUCGGCUAUCACUUUAGGAUGGACCCGCGGUGCAUUAGUUAGUUGGUGAGGUAAAGGCUCACCAAGACCGUGAUGCAUAGCCGACCUGAGAGGGUAAUCGGCCACACUGGGACUGAGACACGGCCCAGACUCCUACGGGAGGCAGCAGUAGGGAAUCUUCCACAAUGGACGAAAGUCUGAUGGAGCAACGCCGCGUGAGUGAAGAAGGUUUUCGGAUCGUAAAACUCUGUUGUUGGAGAAGAAUGUAUCUGAUAGUAACUGAUCAGGUAGUGACGGUAUCCAACCAGAAAGCCACGGCUAACUACGUGCCAGCAGCCGCGGUAAUACGUAGGUGGCAAGCGUUGUCCGGAUUUAUUGGGCGUAAAGCGAGCGCAGGCGGUUUCUUAAGUCUGAUGUGAAAGCCUUCGGCUCAACCGAAGAAGUGCAUCGGAAACUGGGAAACUUGAGUGCAGAAGAGGACAGUGGAACUCCAUGUGUA
This 660-nucleotide ribosomal RNA is filed under the name Latilactobacillus sakei subsp. sakei. Its description in RNAcentral is "bacterial SSU rRNA". It matches the Rfam family "Bacterial small subunit ribosomal RNA", at positions 57 to 677 of the family's 1533-position model. The record is from RNAcentral. Lineage: Bacteria; Bacillati; Bacillota; Bacilli; Lactobacillales; Lactobacillaceae.